UGUCGGCGUGCCUAAUACAUGCAAGUAGAACGCUGAAGAGAGGAGCUUGCUCUUCUUGGAUGAGUUGCGAACGGGUGAGUAACGCGUAGGUAACCUGCCUUGUAGCGGGGGAUAACUAUUGGAAACGAUAGCUAAUACCGCAUAACAAUGGAUGACACAUGUCAUUUAUUUGAAAGGGGCAAUUGCUCCACUACAAGAUGGACCUGCGUUGUAUUAGCUAGUAGGUGAGGUAACGGCUCACCUAGGCGACGAUACAUAGCCGACCUGAGAGGGUGAUCGGCCACACUGGGACUGAGACACGGCCCAGACUCCUACGGGAGGCAGCAGUAGGGAAUCUUCGGCAAUGGGGGCAACCCUGACCGAGCAACGCCGCGUGAGUGAAGAAGGUUUUCGGAUCGUAAAGCUCUGUUGUAAGUCAAGAACGAGUGUGAGAGUGGAAAGUUCACACUGUGACGGUAGCUUACCAGAAAGGGACGGCUAACUACGUGCCAGCAGCCGCGGUAAUACGUAGGUCCCGAGCGUUGUCCGGAUUUAUUGGGCGUAAAGCGAGCGCAGGCGGUUUGAUAAGUCUGAAGUUAAAGGCUGUGGCUCAACCAUAGUUCGCUUUGGAAACUGUCAAACUUGAGUGCAGAAGGGGAGAGUGGAAUUCCAUGUGUAGCGGUGAAAUGCGUAGAUAUAUGGAGGAACACCGGUGGCGAAAGCGGCUCUCUGGUCUGUAACUGACGCUGAGGCUCGAAAGCGUGGGGAGCGAACAGGAUUAGAUACCCUGGUAGUCCACGCCGUAAACGAUGAGUGCUAGGUGUUGGAUCCUUUCCGGGAUUCAGUGCCGCAGCUAACGCAUUAAGCACUCCGCCUGGGGAGUACGACCGCAAGGUUGAAACUCAAAGGAAUUGACGGGGGCCCGCACAAGCGGUGGAGCAUGUGGUUUAAUUCGAAGCAACGCGAAGAACCUUACCAGGUCUUGACAUCCCGAUGCUAUUUCUAGAGAUAGAAAGUUACUUCGGUACAUCGGUGACAGGUGGUGCAUGGUUGUCGUCAGCUCGUGUCGUGAGAUGUUGGGUUAAGUCCCGCAACGAGCGCAACCCCUAUUGUUAGUUGCCAUCAUUCAGUUGGGCACUCUAGCGAGACUGCCGGUAAUAAACCGGAGGAAGGUGGGGAUGACGUCAAAUCAUCAUGCCCCUUAUGACCUGGGCUACACACGUGCUACAAUGGUUGGUACAACGAGUUGCGAGUCGGUGACGGCAAGCUAAUCUCUUAAAGCCAAUCUCAGUUCGGAUUGUAGGCUGCAACUCGCCUACAUGAAGUCGGAAUCGCUAGUAAUCGCGGAUCAGCACGCCGCGGUGAAUACGUUCCCGGGCCUUGUACACACCGCCCGUCACACCACGAGAGCUUGUAACACCCGAAGUCGGUGAGGUAACCUUUUGGAGCCAGCCGCCUAAGGUGGGAUAGAUGAUUGGGGUGAAGU
Molecule: ribosomal RNA, 1465 nt
Filed under: uncultured organism
Description: SSU rRNA
Rfam family: Bacterial small subunit ribosomal RNA
Source: RNAcentral